CGCCUUGCCAGCCCGCUCAGAAACUCAAAGGAAUUGACGGGGGCCCGCACAAGCGGUGGAGCAUGUGGUUUAAUUCGAUGAUACGCGAGGAACCUUACCUGGGCUCAAAUGUAUGUUGACGUAUUCUGAAAGGGAUACUUCUUCGGACAAUAUACAAGGUGCUGCAUGGUUGUCGUCAGCUCGUGCCGUGAGGUGUCGGGUUAAGUCCCAUAACGAGCGCAACCCCUAUCAUUAGUUGCCAUCAGGUCAAGCUGGGGACUCUAAUGAAACUGCCUACGCAAGUAGUGAGGAAGGUGGGGAUGACGUCAAAUCAGCACGGCCCUUACGUCCAGGGCUACACACGUGCUACAAUGGUCGGUACAAAGGGUUGCCAAGCCGCGAGGUGGAGCUAAUCCCAUAAAACCGAUCGUAGUCCGGAUCGCAGUCUGCAACUCGACUGCGUGAAGUCGGAAUCGCUAGUAAUCGUGAAUCAGAAUGUCACGGUGAAUACGUUCCCGGGCCUU
This 503-nucleotide ribosomal RNA is filed under the name uncultured Sphingobacteriales bacterium. RNAcentral's name for it is "bacterial SSU rRNA". It matches the Rfam family "Bacterial small subunit ribosomal RNA", at positions 903 to 1382 of the family's 1533-position model. The record is from RNAcentral. Lineage: Bacteria; Pseudomonadati; Bacteroidota; Sphingobacteriia; Sphingobacteriales.